GCCGAAGUAGCUCAGUCGGUAGAGCAACUGAUUCGUAAUCAGUAGGUCAGCGGUUCGAUUCCGCUCUUCGGCA
This 73-nucleotide transfer RNA is filed under the name Candidatus Berkiella aquae. RNAcentral's name for it is "Legionella-like amoebal pathogen HT99 tRNA". It matches the Rfam family "tRNA". Rfam says of the family: Transfer RNA (tRNA) molecules are approximately 80 nucleotides in length. Their secondary structure includes four short double-helical elements and three loops (D, anti-codon, and T loops). Further hydrogen bonds mediate the characteristic L-shaped molecular structure. tRNAs have two regions of fundamental functional importance: the anti-codon, which is responsible for specific mRNA codon recognition, and the 3' end, to which the tRNAs corresponding amino acid is attached (by aminoacyl-tRNA synthetases). tRNAs cope with the degeneracy of the genetic code in two manners: having more than one tRNA (with a specific anti-codon) for a particular amino acid; and 'wobble' base-pairing, i.e. permitting non-standard base-pairing at the 3rd anti-codon position. Lineage: Bacteria; Pseudomonadati; Pseudomonadota; Gammaproteobacteria; Candidatus Berkiellales; Candidatus Berkiellaceae. The record is from Rfam by way of RNAcentral.